AGGCGUUGAAGAGAGGAUUUAUCUUUUCUACUUCUUUUAAACAAACAGAUCAAGGAACUGGGGAGUGGAGAAUAGUGAAAGAAAUGUAAUCUGAUCCUGCCAGCAGUGAAAGGGCGAGGUGACUCUCAUGUCCCACAUGAGGGUUAUUCAUUUGAACCCUUUAUUGUGGAUUCAUAAUAAAGAAGAAAUGGAGUACCAACACAGAUGACCCACAAAGUUUGUCUAACUCCUUCCGUGAGAAUCUGGAAUGUAUAUCUGUAUCACUAACGC
Molecule: long non-coding RNA, 270 nt
Organism: Mirounga angustirostris (Northern elephant seal)
Lineage: Eukaryota; Metazoa; Chordata; Mammalia; Carnivora; Phocidae
Exons: 3
Source: RefSeq, a predicted model, not a curated record